This is a long non-coding RNA of Dromaius novaehollandiae (emu), 1672 nucleotides long. RefSeq lists it as uncharacterized. The transcript has 3 exons. The record is from RefSeq and is a predicted model, not a curated record. Lineage: Eukaryota; Metazoa; Chordata; Aves; Casuariiformes; Dromaiidae.
CAUGAUGAAAAACCAUUUUGUAGAAUAUAUCAAUGGGUAGAUCUCCGUUUGGAUCUGCGUACUUCAGAGUUGUCAUCGGAGUAUACAAGGUGUUGGUCUGAUGGCGAAAAGACUUUUCACAGCUGGCUGCAAAAUGCCAGUUUGGAUGCAGCUUUGUGGCUGGAAUCACGUGACAGCAGCUGUCUCUUCUCCCACGGCACAAGGGCUAAAUACACUGGAUGUUUAACAAUUGUUGGACUUCACACAAAAAGUAGCGGCAGAGUUUCCUCCUAUGGCAACGUAUAGGUGACAAAUCAGACACCAAAAUCCCAUAGGUCAUGGGGCCUCUUAAAUACUGUCUUAAGCAAUAAGAAAAUAGUAGACUGCAACACAGCAUUUUUCCUUGCUUUCUUUCUACUUUUGGUCCCUGUAGGCAUCUUGCUCUCUGUGCCAUUCUGAUGAAUUUCCACUGCAUUCUCUCUGUUAUGAUGCCCUUGAACUUUUUAUCUUUGAAUUGUCUAAAAAAUAAAGACCAUUAUCUAUCAUUAGACCAUAUAUAUUAUACUUUACAAUGGAAAGUAUUACAGGUCAGUAUUAUAGUUUUAUUCAUAUUGUAUUGUAUGCGAGAUUCUGUGUUUUUAAAAGUACAUGACCGAUAUUUUGUUCAAAGCUAAACAGCCUUAAACUAUUCAACAUGCUUCUUCAGCAUCUAAACUUUAACAGUUUAUUUUGUGUGAAGGAUGUGAACAUUUCUGUGCCUUUUGUGAUGUAAAGUUUCCAUGGGUUCCUCUGUUUCUCCUAGAUAGUAGCAAGCUUUAAACAUUUGUUUGCUAGCUGUGAAUAUAUUUUAAAACUGUAAAAUAUAGUUUACAUCUGGGGAUCAAUACUUACUGCAGUUUAAACUUCAGUGCUUGUAUAGCUAAACUUUCGCAGAAUCCUUCCACAGCAAACUUAGAGGCAGCAUAAACAUCAUUAAAUAAGAUACCUGAUGGUACAAACAAAACAUCCUGAGAAUGUGAUUGUAUGCAACAUACUAAUAUUUUAGUUACUAGUUAUACUAAUAUUUUAGUUUAAGAACCUCUUGUAUUUUCCCCAAAUUUCUACAGUCUUGCUGGGAAAACAUAAAAAAACCCUUCUUUAUGUCAAUCUAAUGAGCCAGUUCUGGCAGUAAUAAAUAUUGCUAAUUUUUGUCACUUGAACUCAAAAUUACUUAUUCUAGAAAUGGGUGCUUGACUAAGGCUUUUCCUACUCCUAGCUGAUGCUGUCAUCUCUUUAGAUGAUAUUAAAUAUUUUGUAGUCUAAGCUAUGAAAGUGUCUAUACAUACAAUACCAUCUGCAUUCUUCAUCAGCAAGACUUUAACAGGCUGUAGAGAAACACAGAAGCUGAGUGCAACGCUGGAAAUAAGAUUAUGCGAGAGAUCCAGCUUGCAUCUGAAGGACUUUGAAAAAGCAGUACAUCAAUCCACUUGGAUGGAUGGUAAAAUCUCCUUCAGGAGCCGAACCAGUCCAAAGAAGUUGGUAUCCAUCACAGUUUUCAUUUCAUCUAUGGUCUGACAUUCAAUAGGUCCAAUGAGUCCCAUUCCAGCAUUGCUAACUGCACAAAAUGGAAGACACAACAGUGAGCAAUAACCUCCAUGAACAUUAACUUGUGAUUUUUACUGGAAAGCAUUUGAGAGUAAAAUGAGAGAGAAAA